Molecule: ribosomal RNA, 1010 nt
Filed under: Fejervarya sp. Taiwan
Lineage: Eukaryota; Metazoa; Chordata; Amphibia; Anura; Dicroglossidae
Description: partial 16S ribosomal RNA
Rfam family: Bacterial large subunit ribosomal RNA
Source: RNAcentral
AAAACCCCAUAAACUUAAGAGCUAUUCAAAUAAGGCACAGCUUGUUUGAAAAAGGAUACAACCUAACAUAAAGGGUAAGCGACAACACACUUGUCUUAAGUGGGCCUGAAAGCAGCCACCUUUCAAAAAGCGUUAAAGCUUAAUCUUAUCUUCACUCACCAAUUCCCGCAUUUCCCACGAACCCUCAACUACAACUGAAUAAUUCUAUAACACUAUAGAAGAUAUAAUGCUAAAACUAGUAACAAGAAGUUGACCUUCUCCAAAAUGCAAGCAAAAACCUAACCGGACCAACCAUUGGUUAAUAACGCCCAUGAAACGAAUAUAGUAACUUACUCUAGUAAACUCUAUUAAUAAAAGCGUUAACCUUACACAAGAGCAUUUCUGGAAAGAUUAAAAGAAAAAGAAGGAACUCGGCAAAUCUAGGCCUCGCCUGUUUACCAAAAACAUCGCCUCUUGACUCCUAUAAGAGGUCCAGCCUGCCCAGUGAUACUAUUAAACGGCCGCGGUACCCUGACCGUGCGAAGGUAGCAUAAUAACUUGUUCUUUAAAUGGGGACUAGCAUGAACGGCAUCACGAGGGUCUCACUGUCUCCUUUUUCUAAUCAGUGAAACUGAUCUUCCCGUGAAGAAGCGGGAAUUGAAGUAUAAGACGAGAAGACCCCAUGGAGCUUUAAACCCAAUAGGCACCUCUGACUAAUCUAGCCCACAAUACUUCUUAUAGUUCUGUCUAUUGGUUUUAGGUUGGGGUGACCACGGAGUACAACAAAUCCUCCAUGACGUACGGGGCUUCCCUCUUAUCCUUGAACCACAUUUCUAAGAAUCAACAAAUUGACGUUUGUGAUCCAAUAUAUUGAUCAACGAACCAAGUUACCCUGGGGAUAACAGCGCAAUCCAUUUUAAGAGCCCCUAUCGCCAAAUGGGUUUACGACCUCGAUGUUGGAUCAGGGUAUCCUAGUGGUGCAGCCGCUACUAAUGGUUUGUUUGUUCAACAAUUAAAACCCUACGUGAUCU